CGGUUGACCUCGGAUCAGGUA
RNAcentral lists this ribosomal RNA (21 nucleotides) under Malbranchea conjugata. RNAcentral describes it as "Auxarthron conjugatum partial 28S ribosomal RNA". The record is from RNAcentral. Lineage: Eukaryota; Fungi; Ascomycota; Eurotiomycetes; Onygenales; Malbrancheaceae.